CCUACGGGUGGCAGCAGUGGGGGAUAUUGCACAAUGGGGGAAACCCUGAUGCAGCGACGCCGCGUGAGUGAAGAAGUAUUUCGGUAUGUAAAGCUCUAUCAGCAGGGAAGAAAAUGACAGUACCUGACCAAGAAGCCCCGGCUAACUACGUGCCAGCAGCCGCGGUAAUACGGAGGAUGCGAGCGUUAUCCGGAUUUAUUGGGUUUAAAGGGUGCGUAGGCGGAAUAUCAAGUCAGCGGUAAACAUUCGGGGCUCAACCCCGUCGUGCCGUUGAAACUGAUGUUCUUGAGUGGGCGAGAAGUAUGCGGAAUGCGUGGUGUAGCGGUGAAAUGCAUAGAUAUCACGCAGAACUCCGAUUGCGAAGGCAGCAUACCGGCGCCCAACUGACGCUGAGGUUCGAAAGCGUGGGUAGCAAACAGGAUUAGAUACCCCAGUAGUC
RNAcentral lists this ribosomal RNA (439 nucleotides) under uncultured bacterium. RNAcentral describes it as "partial 16S ribosomal RNA". It matches the Rfam family "Bacterial small subunit ribosomal RNA", at positions 338 to 795 of the family's 1533-position model. The record is from RNAcentral.